AGGUUAAGUUAUGAAGGGCGCACGGUGGAUGCCUUGGCACUAGGAGCCGAUGAAGGACGGUACUAACACCGAUAUGCUUCGGGGAGCUGUAAGUAAGCAUUGAUCCGAAGAUUUCCGAAUGGGGAAACCCACUGCUCGUAAUGGGGCAGUAUCCUUACCUGAAUACAUAGGGUAAGAGAAGGUAGACCCGGGGAACUGAAACAUCUUAGUACCCGGAGGAAGAGAAAGCAAACGCGAUUUCCUGAGUAGCGGCGAGCGAAACGGAAGAUAGCCCAAACCAAGAGGCUUGCCUCUUGGGGUUGUAGGACACUCUAUACGGAGUUACAAAAGAGCGAAGUAGACGAAGCGACCUGGAAAGGUCCGUCAGAGAAGGUAACAACCCUGUAGUCGAAACUUCGUUCUCUCUUGAGUGGAUCCUGAGUACGGCGGGACACG
This 435-nucleotide ribosomal RNA is filed under the name Shigella sonnei. RNAcentral's name for it is "partial 23S ribosomal RNA". It matches the Rfam family "Bacterial large subunit ribosomal RNA", at positions 1 to 426 of the family's 2925-position model. The record is from RNAcentral. Lineage: Bacteria; Pseudomonadati; Pseudomonadota; Gammaproteobacteria; Enterobacterales; Enterobacteriaceae.